CCUACGGGAUGCUGCAGUGGGGAAUAUUGCACAAUGGGGGAAACCCUGAUGCAGCGACGGCGCGUGAGUGAAGAAGUAUUUCGGUACGUAAAGCUCUAUCAGCAGGGAAGAAAAUGACGGUACCUGACUACGAAGCCCCGGCUCACUACGUGCCCGCAGCCGCGGUACUACGUAGGGGGCAAGCGUUAUCCGGAUUUACUGGGUGUAAAGGGAGCGUAGACGGCAGCGCAAGUUUGGAGUGAAAUCCCAUGGCUUAACCAUGGAACUGCUUUGGAAACUGUGCAGCUAGAGUGCAGGAGAGGUAAGCGGAAGUCCUAGUGUAGCGGUGAAAUGCGUAGAUAUUAGGAGGAACACCAGUGGCGAAGGCGGCUUACUGGACUGUAACUGACGUUGAGGCUCGAAAGCGUGGGGAGCAAACAGGAUUAGAUACCCUAGUAGUC
RNAcentral lists this ribosomal RNA (440 nucleotides) under uncultured bacterium. RNAcentral describes it as "partial 16S ribosomal RNA". It matches the Rfam family "Bacterial small subunit ribosomal RNA", at positions 338 to 795 of the family's 1533-position model. The record is from RNAcentral.